CACUCCCACUCACUCUCUCACACACUCACAUGCACUCACUCUCUCACACACUCACACUCUCACACACAAACAAACAAAGACACACACACACUCGCUCACACAAACACUAAACACUGAAGUGUGUGUUGUGUACUGCUGUUGCCUUGGCAACCCUUGCCCCUCACUCUCUCCCUCUGUGUGUGUUUUUCCCUCCUGUCCGUCGGCCCGUCCUCAGCCCGUCUCCUACUGACUUGGCUGGCCCUGAGAAGCAACAGCAGCCCCAGACGGUCCCAGAGCGACACGGGAACAAGACCGAGAGGAACACCUUCAGCCCAGAGGACUGUAAUGUUGAUAUGGACAAGCCCGUCCUCAGGAAGUUUCAAGGCACCUUCCUCCGCAACCUGGUCGCCACCCAGUGGGAGAAGACGAGCAGGAGCCAGCACGAG
This is a long non-coding RNA of Oncorhynchus keta (chum salmon), 425 nucleotides long. RefSeq lists it as uncharacterized. The record is from RefSeq and is a predicted model, not a curated record. NCBI's taxonomy places the organism in Eukaryota, Metazoa, Chordata, Actinopteri, Salmoniformes, Salmonidae. The transcript is spliced from 3 exons.